GACGAACGCUGGCGGCGUGCUUAACACAUGCAAGUCGAACGGUGAAGCGCCUUCCUUUUUGGUGGGUGUGGAUGAGUGGCGAACGGGUGAGUAACACGUGAGUAACCUGCCCCCUUCUUCUGGAUAACCGCAUGAAAGUGUGGCUAAUACGGGAUAUUCUGGGUCUGUCGCAUGAUGGGUCUGGGAAAGAUAUUGUUUCGGUGGGGGAUGGGCUCGCGGCCUAUCAGCUUGUUGGGGGGGUGAUGGCCUACCAAGGCGGUGGCGGGUAGCCGGCCUGAGAGGGUGGACGGUCACACUGGGACUGAGACACGGCCCAGACUCCUACGGGAGGCAGCAGUGGGGAAUAUUGCACAAUGGGCGCAAGCCUGAUGCAGCGACGCCGCGUGAGGGAUGGAGGCCUUCGGGUUGUGAACCUCUUUCGCCAGUGAAGCAGGCCUGCCUCGUUUGUGGGUGGGUUGACGGUAGCUGGAUAAGAAGCGCCGGCUAACUACGUG
RNAcentral lists this ribosomal RNA (494 nucleotides) under uncultured bacterium. RNAcentral's name for it is "partial 16S ribosomal RNA". It matches the Rfam family "Bacterial small subunit ribosomal RNA", at positions 28 to 507 of the family's 1533-position model. The record is from RNAcentral.